Molecule: transfer RNA, 85 nt
Filed under: Bryobacterales bacterium
Lineage: Bacteria; Pseudomonadati; Acidobacteriota; Terriglobia; Bryobacterales
Description: tRNA-Leu
Rfam family: tRNA
About the family: Transfer RNA (tRNA) molecules are approximately 80 nucleotides in length. Their secondary structure includes four short double-helical elements and three loops (D, anti-codon, and T loops).
Source: RNAcentral
GCGGGGAUGGCGGAAUUGGCAGACGCACUAGCUUGAGGUGCUAGCGGGUAACACCGUCGGGGUUCAAGUCCCCGUCUCCGCACCA